This is a non-coding RNA of Camelina sativa (false flax), 1340 nucleotides long. NCBI's taxonomy places the organism in Eukaryota, Viridiplantae, Streptophyta, Magnoliopsida, Brassicales, Brassicaceae. The record is from RefSeq and is a predicted model, not a curated record.
CCAUAAGACAUGAAGAAAGAACCAAAGAGUUCUCAAAGUUUGGUACCCUCGGCUGAUAAAAACCAUAAGACAUGAAUAACUGACCUUGCGGCUUAAUGAUUCCUAAGACAAAGACAUAAAAGAACCAAAGAGCUCUGAUUGGUACCAUUGGCUCGGAAAAACCAUAAGACAAAGGAGUCAAAAGACAUUGGAAGGGUAGUGCAUGCAUGUAAGGAAAUGAGUUGCGAUAUGUUGGAUUGAGCGGACUAAAGAAAUCUUAAGACAAGAUUGUGACUUGUUCGAUGGUAAAAAUGACCAGAAAUUGGACCAACGUAUGUGCUUCUCAAGUUACGGUGUUCAGAUUGUCAAGACUUUUGAUAGGUAUAUAUUCUUUCAAACCUUUUUAUUUUUGUUUAACUGCUUUCCAAACUUGUUUGUAAUUAGUAUAUGAAAAUCACAAGUGAAAGACACAUACAACAUCCUGAACUCCAAAGUGGUAGUUUCUGGUGCUUUUAUCAACCAACCCUUAAUGAUGACGCAGUUGGGAACAGAUUCCAAUUCGAGAGACUAGGUAUUAUUUUCAGUUUGAAAAUCAUAAAAAUUGGUUGCGUUUCUAGAUGAGCACAUUGUGUAUUUUAAUUUUACUAUUCUCUAUGUUUCAGCGCUUGUGUAUCAUAAGCUCUCUUAUUCUAUAUAGUGGAUGUAGAGUCUCUCGUAGAUUAACUUAUGUAGAUUGUGUUUGUGUUCCUUGAACCUUGAAAGUAUUUUUUUGUUUUGUGCUCUAAAACUUUGGUGAUUGUUUUAAACAUGUGAAUGACAUCCUAGGAUUUUGCAUCAUCCACUGAGUAAAGGUUGAUUUUAAUUUGGCUUUUGAAACAUUAUAUUGUGUGUUGAAAAUACUUAAUAUCUCUGUUUUGGCGUUUGUAUGUAUAAAUAACUUUUUCAUUUAAUGAAAUAGAUGCAUCUUGGGAUCUACUGUAGUUACUUAUUUUUUAAUGUCUGUGAUAGUACUGCACAUUAUGGUAAUAAUAUUAUUGAAUCUCGAAUGUCUUUGUUUUGCAUUAUGCUCUAAACCCUUGGUGAUUGCUCUGGAAUUCCGCAUUUACUAUAUCUAUACACUAACUGAAUUAUGGUAAUAGUAUUACUCUCGAAUGUCUUUGUUUUGCGUUAUGCUCUAAACCCUUGGUGAUUGUUGUAAGCAUGUGAAACCACAUUAUGGAAUUCUGCAUUAUACUCUAGUGAAUACUGUGUUGGAUUCUAUAAUUUAUACCCCUUGGCUUGAGUAUUUACUAUAUCUAUACACUAACUGAAAAUGUCAUAAAUUCUCUUGUUUUACGAAAUUAAUGAACAUAGUUGAGACU